This 934-nucleotide ribosomal RNA is filed under the name uncultured bacterium. RNAcentral's name for it is "bacterial SSU rRNA". It matches the Rfam family "Bacterial small subunit ribosomal RNA", at positions 57 to 985 of the family's 1533-position model. The record is from RNAcentral.
GCAAGUCGAGCGGGGAAGAGUAGCUUGCUACUUGACCUAGCGGCGGACGGGUGAGUAAUGCUUAGGAAUCUGCCUAUUAGUGGGGGACAACAUCUCGAAAGGGAUGCUAAUACCGCAUACGUCCUACGGGAGAAAGCAGGGGACCUUCGGGCCUUGCGCUAAUAGAUGAGCCUAAGUCGGAUUAGCUAGUUGGUGGGGUAAAGGCCUACCAAGGCGACGAUCUGUAGCGGGUCUGAGAGGAUGAUCCGCCACACUGGGACUGAGACACGGCCCAGACUCCUACGGGAGGCAGCAGUGGGGAAUAUUGGACAAUGGGGGGAACCCUGAUCCAGCCAUGCCGCGUGUGUGAAGAAGGCCUUUUGGUUGUAAAGCACUUUAAGCGAGGAGGAGGCUACCGAGAUUAAUACUCUUGGAUAGUGGACGUUACUCGCAGAAUAAGCACCGGCUAACUCUGUGCCAGCAGCCGCGGUAAUACAGAGGGUGCAAGCGUUAAUCGGAUUUACUGGGCGUAAAGCGCGCGUAGGUGGCCAAUUAAGUCAAAUGUGAAAUCCCCGAGCUUAACUUGGGAAUUGCAUUCGAUACUGGUUGGCUAGAGUAUGGGAGAGGAUGGUAGAAUUCCAGGUGUAGCGGUGAAAUGCGUAGAGAUCUGGAGGAAUACCGAUGGCGAANGCAGCCAUCUGGCCUAAUACUGACACUGAGGUGCGAAAGCAUGGGGAGCAAACAGGAUUAGAUACCCUGGUAGUCCAUGCCGUAAACGAUGUCUACUAGCCGUUGGGGCCUUUGAGGCUUUAGUGGCGCAGCUAACGCGAUAAGUAGACCGCCUGGGGAGUACGGUCGCAAGACUAAAACUCAAAUGAAUUGACGGGGGCCCGCACAAGCGGUGGAGCAUGUGGUUUAAUUCGAUGCAACGCGAAGAACCUUACCUGGUCUUGAC